Molecule: ribosomal RNA, 544 nt
Filed under: Arthroleptis sylvaticus (forest screeching frog)
Lineage: Eukaryota; Metazoa; Chordata; Amphibia; Anura; Arthroleptidae
Description: partial 16S ribosomal RNA
Rfam family: Bacterial large subunit ribosomal RNA
Source: RNAcentral
AUGAGAGACCCAGCCUGCCCACUGAUAUUUUAUUUAACGGCCGCGGUACCCUGACCGUGCAAAGGUAGCACAAUCACUUGUUUCUCUAAAUAGGGACUAGUAUGAAUGGCACCACGAAGACUAUACUGUCUCCUUUCUACAAUCAGUGAAACUGAUCCCCCCGUGAAAAAGCGGGGAUUAUACUAUAAGACGAGAAGACCCCAUGAAGCUUCAAACUAAAUACCAACUGCCGGCCAUUAAACCACCCGAAACCUGGCUGACCUGACUAUCAAAUUUUGGUUGGGGCAACCGCGGAGCAAAACAAAACCUCCACAUUUAUUAUAAGAACAGUGGACCACCACUCAAUUUAAGAACAACGCUUCUAAAAGCCAAAACAUUGACCCCCCUUGAUCCAAACCUUUGAUCAAAGAACCAAGUUACUCUGGGGAUAACAGCGCAAUCUAUUUCAAGAGUCCGUAUUGACAAAUGGGUUUACGACCUCGAUGUUGGAUCAGGGUGCCCCAGUGGUGCAGAUGCCGCUAACGGCUCGUUUGUUCAACGCUUU